GUGGGGAAUAUUGGACAAUGGGCGAAAGCCUGAUCCAGCCAUGCCGCGUGUGUGAAGAAGGUCUUCGGAUUGUAAAGCACUUUAAGUUGGGAGGAAGGGCAGUAAGUUAAUACCUUGCUGUUUUGACGUUACCGACAGAAUAAGCACCGGCUAACUUCGUGCCAGCAGCCGCGGUAAUACGAAGGGUGCAAGCGUUAAUCGGAAUUACUGGGCGUAAAGCGCGCGUAGGUGGUUUUGUAAGUGGGAGGUGAAAUCCCCGGGCUCAACAUGGGAAAUGCCUCAAAAACUGGAUGACUAGAGUACGGUAGAGGGUAGUGGAAUUUCCUGUGUAGCGGUGAAAUGCGUAGAUAUAGGAAGGAACACCAGUGGCGAAGGCGACUACCUGGACUGAUACUGACACUGAGGUGCGAAAGCGUGGGGAGCAAACAGGAUUAGAAACCCUAGUAGUCC
RNAcentral lists this ribosomal RNA (450 nucleotides) under uncultured bacterium. RNAcentral describes it as "partial 16S ribosomal RNA". It matches the Rfam family "Bacterial small subunit ribosomal RNA", at positions 354 to 796 of the family's 1533-position model. The record is from RNAcentral.